This 1333-nucleotide ribosomal RNA is filed under the name mouse gut metagenome. RNAcentral describes it as "bacterial LSU rRNA". It matches the Rfam family "Bacterial large subunit ribosomal RNA", at positions 1104 to 2448 of the family's 2925-position model. The record is from RNAcentral.
GCUUGGAAGCAGCCAUUCAUUUAAAGAGUGCGUAACAGCUCACUAGUCGAGGAGUCGGGCGUGGAUAAUAAUCGGGUAUCAAGUUGUCUACCGAAGCAGUGGGAUCAUUAAUAUGAUCGGUAGGGGAGCAUUCCAGUCAGCGUCGAAGGCGUACCGUGAGGUAUUCUGGAGCGUCUGGAAAAGCAAAUGUAGGUAUAAGUAACGAUAAAGGGGGCGGGAAACCCCCUCGCCGAAAGACUAAGGUUUCCUGAUCAACGCUAAUCGGAUCAGGGUCAGUCGGGUCCUAAGGCUCAGCCGAACGGCGAUGCCGAUGGCAGAAACGGUUAAUAUUCCGUUACUACCUUCAGGAGUGACGUGGAGACGCAGUAGUGACAGUGCCGCCAUCUGACGGAAUAGAUGGUUGAAGGGUGUAGGAGUCGAUCAUGGCAGGCAAAUCCACCAUGAGAUCCGAACCUGACAGUAUGCCGCGUCCUUCGGGACAAGGCAAUAGUGCGCGUAAGCAUGCUGCCGAGAAAAUCCGCUAAACUUAAUCCUGCAGGUACCCGUACCGCAAACGGACACACGUAGUCGGGUUGAAUAUACUAAGGCGCUUGAGUGAUUCACGGUUAAGGAACUAGGCAAACUGACCCUGUAACUUCGGGAUAAAGGGUCCCUACCCUUUUAUGGGAGGGCGCAGAGAAUCGGUCCAGGCAACUGUUUAACAAAAACACAGGGCUGUGCCAAAUCGAAAGAUCCAGUAUACAGCCUGACACCUGCCCGGUGCUGGAAGGUUAAGAGGAGAUGUCAUCGAUAAGAGAAGCGUUGAAUUGAAGCCCCAGUAAACGGCGGCCGUAACUAUAACGGUCCUAAGGUAGCGAAAUUCCUUGUCGGGUAAGUUCCGACCUGCACGAAUGGUGUAAUGAUCUGGACACUGUCUCAACCGUGAGCUCAGUGAAAUUGUAGUAUCGGUGAAGAUGCCGAUUACCCGCGAUGGGACGAAAAGACCCCGUGAACCUUUACUAUAGCUUAUCAUUGAAUUUGGGCACGUGAUGUGUAGGAUAGGUCGGAGGCUUUGAAGCAGGUACGCCAGUAUUUGUGGAGCCGCUGUUGAAAUACGACCCUUUAUUUGUUUGGAUUCUAACCCGUGGAUACGGGGACAUUGAUUGGUGGGUAGUUUGACUGGGGUGGUCGCCUCCAAAAGCGUAACGGAGGCUUCUAAAGGUGCCCUCCGGCCGAUUGGUAACCGGCCUUAGAGUGUAAUGGCAUAAGGGCGCUUGACUGGGAGACUAACAAGUCGAUCAGGUAGGAAACUAGAGCAUAGUGAUCCGGUGUUUCCGUAUGGAAGGGACAUCGC